AUCAGAGACCCAUGUACAUUGGCGAGGCUGAGUAGGACACUCUAGUGGAGUACUGGGAAACAGAACCAGAAAAGAAGAAGAGAAAGAAUGCUGGAAACCACUUAUCUAAUCAUGAUGGCAUAGGGGUUCACAAGCAUUGUGUAUGUCCUCGACGUUUUUUGCAGAUUGAGCAUGAGAUGAUGAUUGAUUCUGGUUUGGAUGAAGCACCAGCCUUCACUGAUCUUGUGCGGAGGACACACUGACGCAAAGAUGUAAUUUUCACGGAAGUGCUGAUCUCUGUUUUGGAGAAUAACUUCAAGCGACUCAACACCAAUGUUUAUGGUUAUAGACGAGCUGGUUGCAUCACGACAAGCUCUUAUUCUGUUAAUGUAGUCUCUUGGAGUUAGACAACCCUCUGUUGCUGCUACUCCUGCUACAACUUCUGCUUCUGCUCUGAUGCAGAUUCUACAACUGCUGCACCUACUCCAGGUUCAAACCAAGACAACUUAGAUGCCUGAUGUGCAUCAUUAGAUAUUUAAAUUAUAAGCUAUGAUGUUUAUAGCUUUUAUGUUAAACUUUCGAACAGUUAGACUUUUAUUUUGUAAGUCUUUUUGGUAAUAUGUAAGACAAGAAGAACAAUUAUUUAGUAAGCUCUUUUGGUAAUAUGUAAGAUAAGAUUACUUAUGAUUAUGUUAAAA
Molecule: non-coding RNA, 677 nt
Organism: Camelina sativa (false flax)
Lineage: Eukaryota; Viridiplantae; Streptophyta; Magnoliopsida; Brassicales; Brassicaceae
Source: RefSeq, a predicted model, not a curated record